GCAAUUCUUGUGGGUCUGUUCUUAUCACAUCAAUCAUCACUUGGUAACUGCUGAUGGACAUUCUCAGAAGACUGUAUACUAAGAUGGGCCACUGCUGAGAAGUAUCUUGGUAACUGGACAGCUUUGGAGGGGAAAAGAUGAAAAACAUGCUUGGCUUAUCAAGCCCUGAUGCAUUAAUGUCAUCUCAGUGUCCCCAUGUGAAAGAAAAAGUAACUUUCUGCCUUGACUUCAGCAGCAGGUUUUUGCCUGAAGGCGAGACUAUGUGAGUAUUGCCAUGAGGGCUCUGCGUUGUACAUUCUUCCACCUAUGGCACAAUCAAGUCACA
Molecule: long non-coding RNA, 325 nt
Filed under: Parus major (Great Tit)
Lineage: Eukaryota; Metazoa; Chordata; Aves; Passeriformes; Paridae
Description: lncRNA (ENSPMJG00000010315.1)
Source: RNAcentral